AAUAGUCAAAAGAGAAUAAAGGUAAAACAAUCAGUUUCUUCAGUAAUAACAAGGUUCAUUCUUUUCACUUUUUCUCUCUGCCUUUAUGAUUAUUUUGCAGGUACAAGUAUAGUAGGCUAAUUAUCACUUUCUUCCUUUCUUCAUCUCUCUCCUCUUUUUUGCCUACUUACAUAUUUUGGUACGACUAGGGUUAUUUUUUUUUUCACCAGGAAUAAGACCAGUUUUUAUUUAGUACCCACUGCAACUGCCAGCUUCAAAAACAUAAAGAGUACUUUUCGAAUCAUAAAUUUUUAUUUAGGCAAAAGAAGAAAUUAAUAAUAUAGAAUCUGAAAUAAAGUGUGAGUUCUCAAGCAAUAGAACAACCCAUAAUGCAAAAAAUAAGGUCGUCGUACCCAGUGCACAAGGCUCCCGCUUUACGCAGGGUCUGGGAGAGGUGAAUGUCGGCUAGCCUUACCCCCAUUUAUGGAGAGGCUGCUCCCAAGCAAAAAAUAAGGCAGAUGAAAAAAUAAGUAAAUUCCAAGCGAUUAACACAAAAGCCCAAGGGCUAUACCUGUGGAGUAUUAUCAAUUAUGGCAACUUUCGCAAGAUCAACACCCAAAACUGUCAAAUCUUUA
Molecule: long non-coding RNA, 614 nt
Filed under: Malus domestica (apple)
Lineage: Eukaryota; Viridiplantae; Streptophyta; Magnoliopsida; Rosales; Rosaceae
Description: long non-coding RNA (MDOM_LNC005338)
Source: RNAcentral